RNAcentral lists this ribosomal RNA (937 nucleotides) under Enterococcus sp. MNC5. Its description in RNAcentral is "bacterial SSU rRNA". It matches the Rfam family "Bacterial small subunit ribosomal RNA", at positions 56 to 964 of the family's 1533-position model. The record is from RNAcentral. Lineage: Bacteria; Bacillati; Bacillota; Bacilli; Lactobacillales; Enterococcaceae.
UGCAGUCGUACGCUUCUUUUUCCACCGGAGCUUGCUCCACCGGAAAAAGAAGAGUGGCGAACGGGUGAGUAACACGUGGGUAACCUGCCCAUCAGAAGGGGAUAACACUUGGAAACAGGUGCUAAUACCGUAUAACAAUCGAAACCGCAUGGUUUUGAUUUGAAAGGCGCUUUCGGGUGUCGCUGAUGGAUGGACCCGCGGUGCAUUAGCUAGUUGGUGAGGUAACGGCUCACCAAGGCCACGAUGCAUAGCCGACCUGAGAGGGUGAUCGGCCACAUUGGGACUGAGACACGGCCCAAACUCCUACGGGAGGCAGCAGUAGGGAAUCUUCGGCAAUGGACGAAAGUCUGACCGAGCAACGCCGCGUGAGUGAAGAAGGUUUUCGGAUCGUAAAACUCUGUUGUUAGAGAAGAACAAGGAUGAGAGUAACUGUUCAUCCCUUGACGGUAUCUAACCAGAAAGCCACGGCUAACUACGUGCCAGCAGCCGCGGUAAUACGUAGGUGGCAAGCGUUGUCCGGAUUUAUUGGGCGUAAAGCGAGCGCAGGCGGUUUCUUAAGUCUGAUGUGAAAGCCCCCGGCUCAACCGGGGAGGGUCAUUGGAAACUGGGAGACUUGAGUGCAGAAGAGGAGAGUGGAAUUCCAUGUGUAGCGGUGAAAUGCGUAGAUAUAUGGAGGAACACCAGUGGCGAAAGCGGCUCUCUGGUCUGUAACUGACGCUGAGGCUCGAAAGCGUGGGGAGCAAACAGGAUUAGAUACCCUGGUAGUCCACGCCGUAAACGAUGAGUGCUAAGUGUUGGAGGGUUUCCGCCCUUCAGUGCUGCAGCUAACGCAUUAAGCACUCCGGCCUGGGGGAGUACGACCGCAAGGUUGAAACUCAAAGGAAUUGACGGGGCCCGCACAGCGGUGGAGCAUGUGGCUUUGAUUCUAGCUACGACG